Asparagus officinalis (garden asparagus) is the source of this 3639-nucleotide RNA transcript. RefSeq lists it as uncharacterized. The record is from RefSeq and is a predicted model, not a curated record. The transcript has 2 exons. Lineage: Eukaryota; Viridiplantae; Streptophyta; Magnoliopsida; Asparagales; Asparagaceae.
UGUCCAUGUAAAUUAUGCGUGAAUAGGUUGCAUCAACUGGAGGAAGAAGUAGAACUUCACAUUGUGAAGAAUGGUUUUGUUAGCGAUUUCAAAACUUGGGUAUAUCAUGAAGAAAUUGAAGGUCUCAUUAAUGCAGAUGAAGAAGAACAAGAAGAAGUCAACUUGUUUCUCGAUGAGGAAAUGGAGGAAAUGGUUGAGGUAGCUCUUGGUAACACUAACCCUGCUGAAGAUCCUCCUUUCAGAGGAGGACAUCAUGAAGAUAAUUAUGAUAAAUACAUGAAUGAUGCUAGGAGGCCCAUUUAUGAGAAUGCAAAACACUCCACGUUGUCAUGGUUCGUCCAUCUAUUCCAGAUUAAAUGUCUAAAUAAAUGGAGCAACAAGUCAUUUAUGAUGCUCCUCAAGUUUCUUAAAGAUUCUAUGCCUCUUGGGAACCAUGUGCCUGAGAGCUGGUACGAAGCUCAAAAGAUAAUGUCUAAUCUGGGUCUGAAGUGUGAGAUGAUACAUGCAUGUCCUAAUGAUUGUAUACUUUAUUGGAAAGAAAAUUCAGAUAAGACGGAGUGUCCUACUUACGGAGAGGCUAGAUAUAAGAAAGUACAUGGUCAGAAGAAGGAUAUACCUAUCAAGAUAGUACGAUACUUUCCCAUUACACAGAGGCUGCAGAGGCUAUUCAAGUGUAAGAAGACAGCAGUGGCGAUGACUUGGCAUCACCGUGCACGUCCAAGUGAAAAUGGACGAAUGAGUCAUCCUAGAGAUAUGCCUGCAUGGAAGGAUUUUGACAGUAGACACUCAACAUUUAGUCAGGAACCUCGCAAUAUCAGGCUGGGAUUGGCUAGUGAUGGCUUUUGCCCCUUCAGCUUUAAGGGCAAUCCCCACAGCACAUGGCCAGUUGUGAUGAUGGUUUAUAACCUCUCACCGUAGUUAGCUAUGGACCAAUCAUAUUUCAUGAUGCCUCUUCUUAUUAAUGGUCUAAAGUCACCGGGAAACAAUAUUGACGUCUAUCUUCGACCUCUUAUCGAAGAGUUAAAGUCUUUAUUCAUCGAUGGUGUGGAGACAUACGAUGCGGACACAGGGACAAACUUCACCAUGCGUGCAGCCUUAAUGUGGACAAUCAAUGAUUUUCCUGCGUAUGGAAUGCUAUCUGGUUGGUCUCUACAUGGUUACACUGCAUGUCCUUACUGUCAUCUCCAGACAACAUCGAGAAGACUACCCUUUAGCAAUAAGACUUGUUAUUACAGUCAUCGGCGUAUGUUGGAUGAAAAUCAUCCGUACAGAGAUGACAUCAUCCACUUUGAUGGUACUAAAGAGAAUCGUCCACGUCCAGACCCAUUAUCCGGAGAGGAUAUACUUGCUCAAUGGAAUGGUAAAAACAAUGUGACUUUCGGAAAAGUUAAGGGAAGGCAAGAAGCAACACAGGGAUGGAACAAAAAAAAUAUCUUCUUUGAACUACCAUACUGGAAGACAAAUAAAGUGCGGCACAAUCUAGACGUCAUGCACAUUGAGAAGGGAGUAUCUGAGCACAUACUUAACUUACUUCUCUGUAAAGAUGGAAAAUCAAAAGAUAACCUCAAAGCUCGAAGGGAUCUCCAGGCAUGGAAUAUUAGAAAAGAGUUACAUCCUAUACCGAAGGCAGGAAAUCCUGACCAAUUUGUACUCCCCAAUGCUGUGUAUCACAUGUCACCAGAUGAGAAGAAAAAGUUUCUCCAGGUGUUACAUGAGUUGAAGGUUCCUACGGGGUUUUCAGGAUCAUUUAGUAAGAAGAUAAAGAUUGUUAAAGGCAAGAUCGAAGGGUUGAAGAGUCAUGAUCACCAUAUUAUUAAGGAGAAUCUUCUUCCACUCUCUCUUAGGACUUCUCUCCCUAAAUCAGUCGGUUUAGUGAUCAACGAUUUUUGCAGAUUCUUUCAGGAAUUAUGAGCUAAAAACAUUGAGGAUGAUAAGUUGAAGAAACUAGAGGUUGAAAUUCCCUUAAUUUUGUGCAAGCUUGAGCGAAUUUUUCCACCUUCAUUCUUUGAUAUCAUUAUACACCUGACUGUUCAUCUUGCAACCGAGGCUAGGCUUACCGGACCGGUACAAUAUCGAUGGAUGUACCCCAUUGAAAGGUACCUUUAGUUUUUCAGUUAUCGUAAUCAAUAUAUUUUUAUUUUAUAGCUUGGAUGCGAUGAUUUAGUGUAAGCUUUUGUAGGUACCUUCUCACUCUGAAAAAUUAUAUUCGUAAUAGAAAUCGACCAGAGGGUUCUAUUAUGGAAGGUUAUCUGCUAGAGGAGGUAACCACUUUUUGUUCUCAUUAUCUGGAUGAAGACAUUGAGACAAAACUCAACAGACCUGUUGUGAUCCAUGACGGACCAUCUAAAAAGACGGAUUACAAUAGAAUGACGUCCGCGUUUAUCAACAAGAUUCAUCACUUUAUCCUUCUCAAUCUCGAAUGCCUUGGAGAAAUUAGAGAAUUACACAAAGAUGAAAUAUGUGCAAUGCAUAGUAAUUGGAAUGAGACACGUGUUGAAACACAUCAUCAGGACAAUUUUUGCAAUUGGUUUAAACAUUAUGUAAGUUUUCUAUUAUCUCAUUUUUGACUCAUUCUAUUAUUUAAUCUAACAUCUUUAUGUAAUUUUCAUAUUAACCUUUUUGUCAGAGCCGAUUACCGGGUAUAGAACCAAUAUUAGAUAAGGAACUUGGAUAUUUGGCUACGUUUCCAGAUGCUGAAGUUAAAUACUAUAAAGGAUUCGGUGUUGGCGGUUACAAGUUUGAAAUCAAGUCUAUAGAAGAACCUCGAACCACCCAAAAUAGCGGAAUUGCAACCCUAGGCACCAAUGGUGAGACAUACUAUGGAUACCUUGAUAACAUACUUGGUAUCAACUAUCCCGGACGAGCAGGAUGCAUUUAUGUCUUCUAGUGUGUUUGGUAUGAUAUGAAGACUGGAACUGGUAAGUGGAGAGACAAUUACGAGUGUAAAUAUGACACGGUUUUCCUUUUAGGACGAUCCAUUUAUAUUUCCAGAACAAGCAUUUCAAGUAUACUACACGAAGUGCUUGAGGCAUUCGGGGUGGAGUGUUGUAUGUCGAUGGAGGCCCAGGGAUACUUACGACGUCCCACAAUUCGUAGAUUCAGAGAUUGUAGAGAUUAAUAAUAACGAAGAAUUUGAGUAGGGAGGAGUUGUAUGUCAAGAUAAAUCUCCUGAGUUUGAUAAAGUUUCGUGGGUUAGGAUUGAUUUGAAUAGUGCAAUACUUGUAGAUAUUCCUACAACUUACAGGGAAUCUGUAGAACCUAACAUUUCUGUAAAGCGAAAAAGGUAACCAUUAUAAAAAUUUAUUUUGAAUUGAGGAAUGAAUUACUAUACGAUGUGCUUUGGAUGUGUGAUUGUCAAAAGAGUUAUGAAUUGCUUUAAUUUUACCCCUUAUUCUCUUUGGCUGUGUUAUAAUAGUUUCAAAUUGUAACAGUAGAGUUUAAGUAUUAAUUAGUUUGGAUUCAUUGUGUGAUUCUAUGCUUGUCAGCUCAUAGUUCUAUCCAUUUCCUUGUUCUGUAGAACCUAACACUUCUGUAAAGCAAAAAAGGUAACCAUUAUAAAAAUUUAUGUUGUUUAAAAUUUAUAUCUUCAAAUUUAUAAAUAUGUCUAUUCGCUUAUAUCUUAUAUGAAUUGUAAAAUUU